This 433-nucleotide ribosomal RNA is filed under the name uncultured bacterium. Its description in RNAcentral is "partial 16S ribosomal RNA". It matches the Rfam family "Bacterial small subunit ribosomal RNA", at positions 29 to 507 of the family's 1533-position model. The record is from RNAcentral.
AACGAACGCUGGCGGCAUGCCUAACACAUGCAAGUCGAACGAGACCUUCGGGUCUAGUGUCGCACGGGUGCAUAACGCGUGGGAACCUGCCCUUAGGUUCGGAAUAACUCCCCGAAAGGGGUGCUAAUACCGGAUAAUGUCUUCGGACCAAAGAUUUAUCGCCUUUGGAUGGGCCCGCGUUGGAUUAGCCAGUUGGUAGGGUAAAAGCCUACCAAGGCGACGAUCCAUAGCUGGUCUGAGAGGAUGAUCAGCCACACUGGGACUGAGACACGGCCCAGACUCCUACGGGAGGCAGCAGUGGGGAAUAUUGGACAAUGGGCGAAAGCCUGAUCCAGCAAUGCCGCGUGAGUGAUGAAGGCCUUAGGGUUGUAAAGCUCUUUUACCCGGGAUGAUAAUGACAGUACCGGGAGAAUAAGCUCCGGCUAACUCCGUG